GCCUUCGUGGUGUAGUGGUCAGCUUGCUUGACGCGUAACCGAGAGGUCCGUGGUUCGAUUCCCGGCGAAGACG
RNAcentral lists this transfer RNA (73 nucleotides) under Stegodyphus mimosarum. It matches the Rfam family "tRNA". Rfam says of the family: Transfer RNA (tRNA) molecules are approximately 80 nucleotides in length. Their secondary structure includes four short double-helical elements and three loops (D, anti-codon, and T loops). Lineage: Eukaryota; Metazoa; Arthropoda; Arachnida; Araneae; Eresidae. The record is from Rfam by way of RNAcentral.